AAGACUAUAGACCUGCGGAGUACCUGCGGAAGGAUCAUUAACGUACCUAUGAUGGGGUGCGGAGCGCCCUGCUCCGGUCGAACGGCCGUGCAGCGGGUGCGCCGCCCCCGUCCCACCUCACAAACCCACUGUGAACAUUCACCGGUGGAGGGGGCUCGGUCUGCGCCGUGUCCCCGAUGCCGAAUACCCAAACUCCAGUUGCAAAGAACGUCGUGCGGACUCGGUGCCGCCUAAAACAUG
Molecule: unclassified non-coding RNA, 240 nt
Filed under: soil metagenome
Description: partial contains 5.8S ribosomal RNA, internal transcribed spacer 2, and large subunit ribosomal RNA
Source: RNAcentral